Rattus norvegicus (Norway rat) is the source of this 5103-nucleotide non-coding RNA. Lineage: Eukaryota; Metazoa; Chordata; Mammalia; Rodentia; Muridae. The record is from RefSeq and is a predicted model, not a curated record.
ACAGAACCAAAAGUUGGUUCUUUGAGAAAAUCAACAAGAUAGAUAAACCCUUAGCCAGACUAACGAGAGGACACAGAGAGUGCGUCCAAAUUAACAAAAUCAGAAAUGAAAAGGGAGACAUAACUACAGAUUCAGAGGAAAUUCAAAAAAUCAUCAGAUCUUACUAUAAAAACCUAUAUUCAACAAAAUUUGAAAAUCUUCUGGAAAUGGACAAUUUCCUAGACAGAUACCAAGUGUAUCUCCAAGUGUACAAGAGAAAACUUUCCAGCACUCAAAUCUCUUAACAUGUGUCACUGAUGAAACAUUUGUCUCCACCCACUCUCUUCCUCACUUUAAAAUACUGAAGGUUGUACUCUGCACUGGGAGAGAAGAGAUCCCCAGACUUCACCAAUACUUCCCAAAGUGACUCUGCCCUUUGCUUUUCUCCUUUGUAAAAUUCUAUUUUACUUUGCUGCUGAAACUAGAAACUUUUGAGUGCCGUAACCUUCUGGUAUCAGUGAUUCAGCUUGCCUUGGUUCAGUCCCUUUUGACUAGCAGAUGUGGGAUGAUUUCAUCAUGCAGGUGUAGGCAGGUACAAGAUAGAACGAAACCUGUCAUUGGACGAAAGGAUGGGUGGGAGAAAAGUUUGAGGUUAGAGGAGGAGAUGGAACUGAAAGGACAAGAGAGGAGAAGGCGGAGAAGCCAACUCCAGGAGAGAACAUGGAGGCUAACGUUAAGAUUCCAUGCUGUACCUUCACAGGUUGUUAUGAAUGUUCUUAAGGGAUGGAUGUGUACAGGGCUUUGUAUAAUUAGGUGGGCAAUUACGUCUUAUCAAUUGGAUCAGAGGUUAUUGUGUUGUGUGUUCUUUCAUGUGCAGAUUUAAGUGUAAGAGAGUGUGCGGCAGCUAGUCAGGGCUGCCACGGAGUUGGGAUGUGUGUUUCUGGCAAGAUGUCUAGCAGAUAUCUUGGGGGCACUACAGUACUGGCUCUAGGGGGGCUAAAAGAAAACCGUUUUUUAUAAUUUUACAACAACAAGCAGACAGUGAGUCCCUUCAUUUUUUUUUUAAAUCUUCCUUCCACUUGUAGUCUCAGCUCUAAUCUUGGUAGUUUUUGAAAUGCUCAUGGUUUGGACUUCAGCAUACAAUUUUGAGGCAGAUGCAACUCAAUCUACAUGUGCCAAUGUAUUCUAGUGGUAGUACUGAUCCUGAGAUAGGAAAUUAGGAUCAGUGUUUAAGCAAUCUUAGUUUCUUGAAGUCCUAUCUAUAUAACCUGUUAUAUUUGCAGUCUGUCAACUCAGGUACCUACGGAAAAUGUUCAACACAUCAAAAAAUUAUGACAGCAUGCGGGAGGCAGAUGCAGGUGGAUCUCUGUGACUUUGAGGCCAGCUUGGUCUACAUAAUAAGUUCCAGAACAACCAAAGCUAUGUACAGAGACCCUGCCUCAAAAAGAAGAAGAAGAAGAAGAAGAAGAAGAAGAAGAAGAAGAAGAAGAAGAAGAAGAAGAAGAAGAAGAAGAAGAAGAAGAAGAAGAAGAAGAAGAAGAAGAAGAAGAAGAAAGAAAGGGAAAAAGUUUAGCCUGAGAGGACUCAGUGGGGGUGGGUGGGUGAGAGAGAGAGAGAGAGAGAGAGAGAGAGAGAGAGAGAGAGAGAAUAAAACAACAAAGAAAAGUCUAUUAGUGUCCCCAAAAAUGCCAAUUUGACUUUUGGUAUUUAGGGAUUCCUAAACUAAAUAUAAUGUUACAUUAAUUCAUAGAUCACUUGCUGCAUGCCAGAAUUUGUGCAGAUAGAUUUGGGUAACCAUGUUUCUCCAGCUCUUGUCUCCUCUGUACUAUCAGGUAUGAUUCUUUUAUGUACGUCAUAGUUGAACUUUAUCAUCCAAAGUUGUUUGAUGGUUCACAACAACAUGAGGCAUGCUUGCUUCCUGAUUCUCUGAUUUCCAGUGUUGAACCAUGUUAAAGAGGCACUUGAGGCCAGGGCUCUAAGAAAUUUAUCAGCUCAGUCUUUUCCAUCUUCAGGUUCUUACUUGAAAUGAGUGGAAGAGUCUGAAAGAAAAACAGUGCCAAAUGUAGGAUCAUUUCCCUUUGGUUGACUGACUUUGGUCAAGAGCCUAGCUUGCUUGCCCAUCUUUCCUUUGAACAUAUGGUCUCUACUUCCUUUAUCCUUGUAAGCAAUUAGACUCUGACGAGUCUGUGCUCCACAUCACCAGGGACCGUCAGUAAAGGACCACAGGCUGUCUUGGAUCUUCCCCUUCACUGAAGACAAGCAAAAGUCCUGUGUUGUUAUGCUGUUUUUCCCGAUGCUUAUGUUUUCAGUAUAAAUGUCAUCCACAGUGGAGGGUUACCAUCAAUGAUAAAAUUAGCACACUUCAAAUUCCGCCGAUCUUAUAAUAAUGCCCACUAGCCCUCUGUCUUUAUUGUUCAUUGUUAUUAUGUAAGUAAUCCAUAAUUACAUUGUACUUACAUUGUAUUACAUAAUACAUUAUAUUAUGUAAGUACAAUGCUAUUCAUGUUGAAGUCUCUUUUUUACUAUCUAAGUAUUACAUCUCUUUAUUCAAAUGUGAAGUUGGGCAUCAUUGAAAAAGUACUAAACAAGAUAUGUUAUAUGUUAUAUCUUAUAAUGAUAUUUUAUACAUCUUAUAUAAUAUAUAUUAAAACAUAUCUUAUAAAGAUAUAAUAAUAUAACUUAUUAUAUAAUAUAAAAUCAAUGCAUCUUAAAAUUUAAAAGAUGUUUCAUAAAAGUUUUAUUACAGAACUUUAUUAUUUUAUUACAAAUAGUUUAUGAACCAGAACUUGAAUUUUGCUUUCUUUGACUAGAUUUUCACUUUGUUUUGCUUCAUUUGUUUUAUUGUUGUUGUUUUGUUUUAAGUAAAGCAUGCCAUUAAAAACAAAACUCCCAUAUUCCUUAAAUUUUUAUGUUAUUAUCAACAAGAUAUUUUUAUAAAUCAUGAACUAAUAACUAACAUUAUUUCAUGAAAAUACACGUAUCGUCUUUCCCAGGAAAAAAAUUUAAAGUUUCUUUUUAAAAAACUAAAAACAUCAUAACACCAAAAUUGAAAUGAACCAUAAAAUGGAGUCACAAAGCUCUGGGCAUUUCCCUGGCGUUCUGUUUCCCAAGAACAGUGAUGUCAUAAUGUCCUAUUGAGUCUUAGGACCUUCUGGGCCACAAGAAGAAAGUCCUGAGGAGACAGUAGAUUGCUGGAUAAAUCACACCAAUUUCCCAAUGGAUUUUAUACUGUUGAUCUUUUUAUCUGGAGUUUUCCUCCCGAACAUUUUCAGUCUACAGCCCACUGUGGAACAGGAUCCUGGUGUGACGAUUUCAGAUGAUCAGUAUUAUGAUGAGGAAGAAAAUAAUACAGAUGAGAAUUCUGCUAUUUUCCAAAAAUUAGAAGAUAAUGGAGGUGAUACUCCUGCCAAUGAGAAAACUGGCAAUUACUAUAAAGACAUAAAGCAAUAUGUGUUCACUACACCAGAUUCAAAAGGCACGAAAACUGAAGUGUCUGUGACAGCCACAACUGACCUGAAGUUUACUAUGAAGGACUAUAAAUCCAGCAAAGCAACUGCCAGUGGAGAAGAAGAUAAACGUAGUGAACCCUCUCGUAAAAGCUCAACCCCCAAUGUGCCUGCAUUCUGGACAAUGUUAGCGAAAGCUAUAAAUGAAACAGCAGUGAGCAUGGAUGAUAAAGAUCUAUUUUAUCAAGCAAUUCCAGCCUCUGAUUUAAAUAGUACCAAUGAAGACCAGCUGUCAGAGCUAGAGGAAAUCAAGCUCAAAUUAAUGCUGGGAAUCUCACUGAUGACACUUAUUCUCUUAAUUCCCCUCUUGAUAUUCUGUUUUGCCACACUGUACAAAUUGAGACACCUACGCGACAAAACUUGUGAGAGCCAAUACUCCGUCAACCCAGAGCUGGCAACUCUGUCUUACUUCCAUCCAUCAGAAGGCUCUAAUCAAACAGUCUUAACCGAAGAGUCAAGCUUCCUUCCUCCUGAGGAGUCGGGUAAGGUGGUCAUCAUUGAAAGUAACACAGUGAAUGAGGCUGAAGUCACGGAAGAAAGAAUCUCUGAACGAAGGAACUGUUUUGCUGGGGGAGGCUGUGUGCAGUUCUGUGAGUCGAUCAUCUAUUUGAAGUGUCCAGUUGCCACUGGUUGGUAAUCAAACAGGAACCUAGCAUGGCUGUCCUCUAAGAGGCUCCACCCAGAAGCUGACUCUGACAGAUGCAGAGACCACAGCCAGAGUGGAUGGAGCUCGGGACUCGACAGGAAGACCAACAGGAUCAACCUGUAUUCUCGGAGCUCUCAGAGGCUGAACCACCAAGCAAAGAACUGGCUGAACCUAGGUCUCCCUGUACAUAUGUAGCAGAUGUGCAGCUUGAUGUUCAUGCUGGCCACUUGGACAACCUACCAGGGAUCUUAUCUCAAGGGAAGAAUGAUUAUUCCUCUCUCCGGUAGGAUGAUGAAUACUUUAAAGGUUUGUUCAUCCUGUCACAAAUGAUAGAAUUUCCUUCUUGUAAAAUCCAAAUAGCAUCUCAGUAUGCAGUACGUAUUCUUUAUCCAUUGACUGACACUUAUGUCGAUUCCAUCCCAUGGUCAUUUUGAACAAUUCUGCAGUGGACAUGGGGUUGCAGCUGUUGCUUUAAUAUGCUGACUUCAUUUCCUGUUGUACCAACCACCUAGUUAUAGGUCUCUUUAAAUUGCUUAUCUGGUCUUAAUUUAACCUCAGCAGGUAGUAUAUAAAGCAAUUUUUCCAUUCAUUCUAGGUAUCACAGUUUGGUGGAUUGCAGAUUUUUAAAUUAUUAUGAUUCACUGGAUUUCCUUGCUGUCUGUUACUGUCUCUCCUUUUCUUUUCUUUCUUUUUUUUGGGGGGGAAUAGGGGUUCCCUAACAAGAGUGUAUUAAGAUUUAUUUAUUUUAAACAUAUCAGGUUUUGGUAAACAUUAAUGGAUGUUUUCUUCCAUCAUAACUAAGCCAUUUUAGACAGAAUAAGAAUACAGCAGAAUAAUCAGGUUUACAAAUUGUAACUAGAAAAGACUGCUGAUAUUUAGGUUUCUAUGUAACAUACUAAUAGUUAUUGCAUCAGGAAUUUUUUAAUUUUUUAUUAUAUAUUUCUUUACUUACAUUUCAAAGAUUAUUCCCCU